GUAGCGAAAUUCCUUGUCAGGUAAAUUCUGACCCGCACGAAUGGCGUAACGACUUGGGCGCUGUCUCAACGAGAGAUCCGGUGAAAUUUUAAUACCUGUGAAGAUGCAGGUUACCCGCGACAAGACGGAAAGACCCCAUGGAGCUUUACUGCAGCUUGAUAUUGAAUUUGGGUACGAUCUGUACAGGAUAGGUGGGAGCCGUAGAAGUAGGAGCGCAAGCUUCUAUGGAGGCGCCGUUGGGAUACCACCCUGAUUGUAUCUAGGUUCUAACCUGGUACCCUAAACGGGUACGGGGACCGUGUCAGGCGGGCAGUUUGACUGGGGCGGUCGCCUCCUAAAGAGUAACGGAGGCGUUCAAAGGUUCCCUCAGAAUGGUUGGAAAUCAUUCGAAGAGUGCAAAGGCAUAAGGGAGCUUGACUGCGAGACCCACAAGUCGAGCAGGGACGAAAGUCGGACUUAGUGAUCCGGUGGUACCGCAUGGAAGGGCCAUCGCUCAACGGAUAAAAGCUACCCUGGGGAUAACAGGCUUAUCUCCCCCAAGAGUCCACAUCGACGGGGAGGUUUGGCACCUCGAUGUCGGCUCAUCGCAUCCUGGGGCUGAAGUAGGUCCCAAGGGUUGGGCUGUUCGCCCAUUAAAGCGGUACGCGAGCUGGGUUCAGAACGUCGUGAGACAGUUCGGUCCCUAUCUGUCGUGGGCGCAGGAAAUUUGAGAGGAGCUGUCCUUAGU
Molecule: ribosomal RNA, 727 nt
Filed under: Paenibacillus sp. P3E
Lineage: Bacteria; Bacillati; Bacillota; Bacilli; Caryophanales; Paenibacillaceae
Description: bacterial LSU rRNA
Rfam family: Bacterial large subunit ribosomal RNA
Source: RNAcentral